Molecule: non-coding RNA, 219 nt
Filed under: Clostridium oryzae
Lineage: Bacteria; Bacillati; Bacillota; Clostridia; Eubacteriales; Clostridiaceae
Description: T-box sequence
Rfam family: T-box leader
About the family: Uncharged tRNA acts as the effector for transcription antitermination of genes in the T-box leader family.
Source: RNAcentral
AUAAAAACUGUGAUAAGGAAGAGUAUGCAAACUACUGUCUUAAGAGAGAGAAACUCACCGGCUGAAAAGUUUCUUAGAUAAGUUUUGUUGAAAACCACCUUUGAGUUGAGUAUUGAAUUGAAUUAGAUAUCUCCGCUUCCAGCGUUAUCGGAUUGAGACACAGAUGCUUUUUUGUUGUAUCUGUAAUUUGGGUGGAACCACGGCAACCUCGUCCCUUGU